GGUUGACCUCGGAUCAGGUAGGGAUACCCGCUAACUUAAGCAUAUCAAU
RNAcentral lists this ribosomal RNA (49 nucleotides) under Neofusicoccum parvum. RNAcentral describes it as "partial 28S ribosomal RNA". The record is from RNAcentral. Lineage: Eukaryota; Fungi; Ascomycota; Dothideomycetes; Botryosphaeriales; Botryosphaeriaceae.